ACACGCAUGACACACUGCAUAUCAAUAAGCGGAGGAAAAGAAACUAACAAGGAUUCCCUUAGUAACGGCGAGUGAAGCGGGAAGAGCUCCAAUUUGAAAUCUUCAAGGUUUUACCUUGACGAAUUGUAGUUUAAAGAAGUGUUUUCCGUUAGUAGAGUGGCAAAAGUUCUUUGGAAUAGGACAUCAUAGAGGGUGAGAAUCCCGUAUUUGGCCAUUCUUUCUAGCUUUGUGAUACACUUUCAAAGAGUCGGAUUGUUUGGGAAUGCAGUCCAAAGUGGGUGGUAAAUUUCAUCUAAAGCUAAAUAUUGGCGAGAGACCGAUAGCGAACAAGUACCGUGAGGGAAAGAUGAAAAGAACUUUGAAAAGAGAGUUAAACAGUACGUGAAAUUGUCAAAAGGGAAGCGUUUGACACCAGUGUUGUUUUUCCGAAAAUCAAUUACGAAUGUUUUGUUUUUGAGAAGUUAUGACUUCAUCGGCUUGCUUCUCUCUUUACGAAACUUUCUUAAUGCACUUUUCGGUUAACAAGUCAACAUCAAUUUCUUUUGUUGUAAAAGGGUACGAGGAAGGUGGCUUUCUUUUCGGAGAAAGUGUUUAUAGCCUUGUACCUCUGCAAUCGGAGAGAUUGAGGUCUGCAGCGUAGAUCCUUCGGGGCUAGAUACAUUUGUGCUAAGUUAUAGCUUUUCAUAGACAACUUGUUGACUAUGUUUAGUCUUGUAGCUUACUCGCUUAUGCUAUUUUACCUACGCUUAGGAUGUUGAGCGCAUGUCUCUCUCU
RNAcentral lists this ribosomal RNA (774 nucleotides) under uncultured Neocallimastigales. RNAcentral describes it as "partial large subunit ribosomal RNA". It matches the Rfam family "Eukaryotic large subunit ribosomal RNA", at positions 23 to 637 of the family's 3401-position model. The record is from RNAcentral. Lineage: Eukaryota; Fungi; Neocallimastigomycota; Neocallimastigomycetes; Neocallimastigales.